This 88-nucleotide transfer RNA is filed under the name Nemania sp. FL0916. Its description in RNAcentral is "tRNA-Arg". It matches the Rfam family "tRNA". Rfam says of the family: Transfer RNA (tRNA) molecules are approximately 80 nucleotides in length. The record is from RNAcentral. Lineage: Eukaryota; Fungi; Ascomycota; Sordariomycetes; Xylariales; Xylariaceae.
GGCUGGGUGGCCUAAUGGCUUAAGGCAUCACUUUCCGGUUACCACACCUGACUGGUGAAGAUUGCGGGUUCGAGUCCCGUCCUGGUCG